AUUGAACGCUGGCGGCAUGCUCUACACAUGCCAGUCGAACGGUAACAGGCCGCAAGGUGCUGACGAGUGGCGAACGGGUGAGUAAUGCAUCGGAGCGUGCCCAGUCGUGGGGGAUAACUACUCGAAAGAGUAGCUAAUACCGCAUACGAUCUAUGGAUGAAAGCGGGGGACCGUAAGGCCUCGCGCGAUUGGAGCGGCCGAUGUCAGAUUAGGUAGUUGGUGGGGUAAAGGCUCACCAAGCCAACGAUCUGUAGCUGGUCUGAGAGGACGACCAGCCACACUGGGACUGAGACACGGCCCAGACUCCUACGGGAGGCAGCAGUGGGGAAUUUUGGACAAUGGGCGCAAGCCUGAUCCAGCAAUGCCGCGUGCAGGAAGAAGGCCUUCGGGUUGUAAACUGCUUUUGUACGGAACGAAACGGCUCUGGUUAAUACCCGGGGCUAAUGACGGUACCGUAAGAAUAAGCACCGGCUAACUACGUG
RNAcentral lists this ribosomal RNA (482 nucleotides) under uncultured bacterium. RNAcentral's name for it is "partial 16S ribosomal RNA". It matches the Rfam family "Bacterial small subunit ribosomal RNA", at positions 30 to 507 of the family's 1533-position model. The record is from RNAcentral.